Dipodomys ordii (Ord's kangaroo rat) is the source of this 439-nucleotide long non-coding RNA. RefSeq lists it as uncharacterized. Lineage: Eukaryota; Metazoa; Chordata; Mammalia; Rodentia; Heteromyidae. The record is from RefSeq and is a predicted model, not a curated record. The transcript is spliced from 3 exons.
GCCGGGGCCAGGAUCACCUUCCACAGACUUCAGGACCUCAUUUCCGGAGCCAUCGUGACAACUCCACCUGUAGGCUGGCUGUGUUCUAGGGCAGAGAAUCUGAGACCAGUGUCUUCAAAGCCUCAGGAAUUGAACAAUUCUGCAUUCAUGGAAGGCCUAACAUGCAUCCCAUGCACCUUCAGAUGGCAAUGUAGUUUAUAUUAGCCUCUCCUAGAGGUAGAGGGACAUCUGGGGUUUUCAACCUAUGUAUUGAGAUCCAGUUCCUAGAACCUACAAUUCGCUCUUUUUGAGGAUUAUUGAAUUUGAGAUAUUUGUAUGAUGAUAGAAUGAUCAGAUCCUUUUGCAGAUCCGUGUACUACUGGUUUGUAUACAUCAGACGUCACAACAGAGUGGUACAUGCUACAACAGAUACUAGAACAUGUCCUAAGCCUGAAAAAAC